GUGGGGAAUUGUUCGCAAUGGGCGCAAGCCUGACGACGCAACGCCGCGUGGAGGAUGAAGAUCUUCGGGUCGUAAACUCCUGUCGAACGGGACGAAUGGCCUGGCCGUGAACAACGGCCGGGAAUGACGGUACCGUGAGAGGAAGCCCCGGCUAACUCCGUGCCAGCAGCCGCGGUAAUACGGGGGGGGCGAGCGUUGUUCGGAAUUAUUGGGCGUAAAGGGCUCGUAGGCGGCCUGCUAAGUCGAACGUGAAAUCCCUCGGCUCAACCGGGGAACUGCGUUCGAGACUGGCGGGCUCGAAUCCGGGAGAGGGAUGUGGAAUUCCAGGUGUAGCGGUGAAAUGCGUAGAUAUCUGGAGGAACACCGGUGGCGAAGGCGGCAUCCUGGACCGGUAUUGACGCUGAGGAGCGAAAGCCAGGGGAGCAAACGGGAUUAGAUACCCUUGUAGUCC
Molecule: ribosomal RNA, 451 nt
Filed under: uncultured bacterium
Lineage: Bacteria
Description: bacterial SSU rRNA
Rfam family: Bacterial small subunit ribosomal RNA
Source: RNAcentral